AUGGCUCGAUGGAAAGAAGCCCAAAGAUCUCGCACCUCUGGUCUUCGAGAUCUUUGCCAACAAGAACAAAUCUGUGUGAAGAAGGCCUUGCUUGAAAACAAUUGGAUCCGGUGGAUCAACCUUUUGGGAGGCCUCUUGGUGGAGCACAUCGAGCAAUUUUGUGGCCUCUGGGAGAAGAUUUAAGAGGUGCACUUACAUGACAACGUUGCUGACGACAUCAGAUGGAACAUUGCCGCCAACGUGCUCUACUCCGCGGCCUCGGCUUACAAGGCCCAGUUCGAGGGCUCUAUCAUCUCACCCAUGCCCAAGAUGGUGUGGAAUAGUUGGGCACCGCCUAAGUGCAAAUUCUUUGCCUGGCUUGUCAUCAAGGAUAGGGUCUGGACCGCCGAUCGACUACAGCGGAGAGGUUGGCCAAACUGCAACUUAUGCCAGCUUUGCAAGAGGGAGCUGGAGACUGCUAUGCAUCUCCUCUUCAAAUGUAGGUUCUCCACUCAUUAUUUGGAAUGCGGUCAAAGCUUGGGUGGACGCGCCGGAGUUGGAUGUAGCGACAUAGGCCGGAAUACCCUCCGUCAGUGA
RNAcentral lists this ribosomal RNA (576 nucleotides) under Triticum aestivum (bread wheat). RNAcentral describes it as "partial small subunit ribosomal RNA". The record is from RNAcentral. Lineage: Eukaryota; Viridiplantae; Streptophyta; Magnoliopsida; Poales; Poaceae.